GCCUUCAUAGCUCAGCCGCAGAGCACCUGCUUCGUAAGCAGGGGGUCGGGGGUUCAAAUCCCUCUGAAGGCU
This 72-nucleotide transfer RNA is filed under the name Candidatus Woesearchaeota archaeon. Its description in RNAcentral is "tRNA-Thr". It matches the Rfam family "tRNA". Rfam says of the family: Transfer RNA (tRNA) molecules are approximately 80 nucleotides in length. Their secondary structure includes four short double-helical elements and three loops (D, anti-codon, and T loops). Lineage: Archaea; Nanobdellati; Candidatus Woesearchaeota. The record is from RNAcentral.